GAUGGGCUCGCGGCCUAUCAGCUUGUUGGCGGGGUGAUGGCCUACCAAGGCGACGACGGGUAGCCGGCCUUAGAGGGCGACCGGCCACACUGGGACUGAGACACGGCCCAGACUCCUACGGGAGGCAGCAGUGGGGAAUAUUGCACAAUGGGCGGAAGCCUGAUGCAGCGACGCCGCGUGAGGGAUGACGGCCUUCGGGUUGUAAACCUCUUUCAGCAGGGACGAAGCGCAAGUGACGGUACCUGCAGAAGAAGCGCCGGCCAACUACGUGCCAGCAGCCGCGGUAAGACGUAGGGCGCGAGCGUUGUCCGGAUUUAUUGGGCGUAAAGAGCUCGUAGGCGGCUUGUCGCGUCGACUGUGAAAACCCACAGCUUAACUGUGGGCUUGCAGCCGAUACGGGCAGGCUAGAAUUCGGUAGGGGAGACUGGAAUUCCUGGUGUAGCGGUGAAAUGCGCAGAUAUCAGGAGGAACACCGGUGGCGAAGGCGGGUCUCUGGGCCGAUGUUGACGCUGAGGAGCGGAAGCGUGGGGAGCGAACAGGAUUAGAUACCCUGGUAGUCCACGCUGUAAACGUUGGGCGCUAGGUGU
RNAcentral lists this ribosomal RNA (587 nucleotides) under uncultured Actinomycetes bacterium. RNAcentral's name for it is "bacterial SSU rRNA". It matches the Rfam family "Bacterial small subunit ribosomal RNA", at positions 224 to 823 of the family's 1533-position model. Lineage: Bacteria; Bacillati; Actinomycetota; Actinomycetes. The record is from RNAcentral.